UACGGAGGGAGCUGAGCGUUGUUUCGGAAUUAACUGGGCGUAAAGGCGCAACGUAGGCGGCUUUGUAAGUUAGAGGUGAAAAGCCCGGGGCUCAACUCCGGAACUGCCUUUAAGACUACAUCGCUUGAAUUCCAAGGAGAGGUGAGUGGAAUUCCGAGUGUAGAAGGUGAAAUUCGUAGAUAUUCGGAAAGAACACCAGUGGCGAAGGCGGCUCACUGGACUGGUAAUUGACGCUGAGGUGCGAAAGCGUGGGGAGCAAACAGGG
RNAcentral lists this ribosomal RNA (265 nucleotides) under uncultured bacterium. RNAcentral describes it as "partial 16S ribosomal RNA". It matches the Rfam family "Bacterial small subunit ribosomal RNA", at positions 524 to 777 of the family's 1533-position model. The record is from RNAcentral.